CGAACGGUGAGUAACACGUGAAUAAUCGUGCCCUGUACGAUGGGAUAACAGCUGGAAACGGCUGCUAAUACCGUAUAUGACCACGCCGAGGCAUCUCGGAGGGUGAAAGCGCUUAAGCGGUACAGGAUGAGUUCGCGUCCAAUUAGCUAGUUGGUGAGGUAACGGCCCACCAAGGCGACGAUUGGUAGCCGACCUGAGAGGGUGAUCGGCCACACUGGAACUGAGACACGGUCCAGACUCCUACGGGAGGCAGCAGUGGGGAAUAUUGGGCAAUGGAGGAAACUCUUACCCAGCCAAUGCCGCGUGAGUGAUGAAGGUCUUCGGAUUGUAAAGCUCUUUGAUUGGGGACGAAUAAAUGACGGUACCCAAGGAACAAGCCCCGGCUAACUAUGUGCCAGCAGCGGC
This 405-nucleotide ribosomal RNA is filed under the name uncultured bacterium. Its description in RNAcentral is "bacterial SSU rRNA". It matches the Rfam family "Bacterial small subunit ribosomal RNA", at positions 99 to 518 of the family's 1533-position model. The record is from RNAcentral.